RNAcentral lists this ribosomal RNA (418 nucleotides) under uncultured bacterium. RNAcentral describes it as "bacterial SSU rRNA". It matches the Rfam family "Bacterial small subunit ribosomal RNA", at positions 28 to 439 of the family's 1533-position model. The record is from RNAcentral.
GAUGAACGCUGGCGGCGUGCUUAACACAUGCAAGUCGAACGGGAACUUUUCAUUGAAGCUUCGGCAGAUUUGGUCUGUUUCUAGUGGCGGACGGGUGAGUAACGCGUGGGUAACCUGCCUCACACUGGGGGAUAACAGUCAGAAAUGACUGCUAAUACCGCAUAAGCGCACGAGACCGCAUGGUUUUGUGUGAAAAACUCCGGUGGUGUGAGAUGGACCCGCGUUGAUUAGCCAGUUGGCAGGUAACGGCCUACCAAGCGACGAUCCAUAGCCGGCCUGAGAGGUGAACGGCACAUUGGACUGAGACACGGCCCAGACUCCUACGGGAGCAGCAGUGGGAAUAUGCACAAUGGGGGAAACCCUGAUGCAGCGACGCCGCGUGAAGGAAGAAGUAUCUCGGUAUGUAAACUUCUAUCAG